AUACUCGUGUAGUAGCUAACGUAACAAACGUUUUAUGAAGUGUACUGGAAUGAGUUUAAAACUGGAUUUAGAACAAGGACUUAAAGGCUUGCAUGAUAACAAGUUUGACUCUACAUAUUGGUCAACAUAUUUUCGUGAUAAAAAUAAAAGUCUCAACUACAUUCUUAAUUAACAGAUUCAGACAAUAGCAUUCCAACACCAACGCUUUCGACUAAUUCAAUUUAGACAUCAUGCCGCGUCUUUACGCAAACGGCUUUUUGUUGAUUAGCUGUCAACAAGUAUUAAUAAAUUCAAAAUUUUCAAAUACGCCAGGAUUAGCUAUCAUAUUGCAAAAUAGGUGUCAGUAAAUAUGUAUUAGUUAAUAUAUGUGCAGGACAAAAAUUAGUUAAUUUACCUGUUUUUAAAAUCUUUAAAAAGUCAACAGACUGACAGUAGUUACAUGGGAUAUAUUGGUUGAAAAACGAGGUUUUAAUUAAAAAAGCUCAUAAUACUUUCAUAGUAUAUAAUACUAUUAAAUUGAUUCUCUAAGAGAGAUCAAAAGAAAUUCCUUGUGAGCAUCGAACCAUUAAAUAUUUAGAGGUAUAUUGCAUCUACGAAUAGCAACUCCAAGCAGAAGAAAGAGGCUGUUGACAGAUAAGCAAAGAGAAAAACAAAAUGGCCACCAAGGCAAAUUGGGAUAUUAUGAUAUCCUACCAUCAUGCGUCUGGCAAGGAGUACAUGAAAAGGAUUAAAGAGUCAUUAUUAAAACAGGAUUACUCUGUUUGGACUGAUGAAGAUCGAGUGUAUGGAGAUUUAGGUGCACGGAUGGCAGAAGGCGUUGCAGGAUCAAAAUUGAUCAUUCUUUUACUUUCAAAGGGAUAUGAAGAAUCUAAAAACUGUCAGAAAGAAUACAACUUGGCCUGUGCGCAACACAAGAAAAUUAUCUGUGUAAUAGUUGAGAAAGGUUAUAAACCUCCAGCAGACCAUGUGCUCAGUUUGAUCCUGGGCAAUAACAUGUACUACCAAUUAUACAGAGGUGAUGAAACAACUUUUCAAAAUCUAUUAAAAGACAUCUCACAACAGCUAUUAGGAGAAGCCCCAGUAAAGACUGAGCCCAUUUUGAAUUUUUGGAUGUAUAAAGACAAAGAAGAAAAUAUCAUUGUUAAGUUUCAUAAUAAAAACUUAAAAACCGUUCAGAGAAUUACUAUACAACAGGACGGUAGUGAUACCAAGGUAGAACUGAAAGAAUCAUCAGACUUUCAUGAAGAAAUGAGAGACAAUAAGCUUGUGUUAACAAUAUAUAAGACAGCUGCUACCUGGUACAUCCUAAAACUUGUCAUAUCGUUGCUGGACAUUGAUGGAAAUAAAGAGAUUCUUGAAGUAGACAAUGUCAACAUUGCCUGCGCUCACAAGUAUUACAACAAAGAAAGUAAAUUUUCUCUCCAUACACAUAAUAGUGACAAAGUUGCAGCAUAUAUCAAGUCAAUUAUCAGCACCCCUGUUCUUGAAACUAACAUUCAGCUGUUCUGUUGUGGAGAAGUAUAUGAAAAAUGUAGAAACGAAUACUUAAGAUUUUCAAGAAAUUAUGUUAAUGAAAACUGCACAUCCAACAAUGCCUUUCUAAAAGAAGCUGUCCAAUUUCCACCACCAAUGGUAAAUGAAGAGAUUUCCAGCUUUGCAUUUCGACUAAAGUCAAUUCUCAGUGAAAUUGGGCACGUGUUUGUGAUCUUCACACAUUACAAUGCCACGGACAAUCUGAGACUUCUAAAUUUAAAUACUUAUUGUGAUCGUGUUCAAGAUUAUAAACACAGACUUUUGCUGCUCCAUCCAUCUCAAAAUACCUUCGUCAACAUAAGAUACACUAAAACUACUAGUGGGUCAAUCAUUGAGGAAGAAUUUCAAAAUGGUGAGGUAGAUAUCAAACAUUUGUUUGCAAUCAAUCAACAAUUUAUCUCUGAUAGUACAUCCAGAUUUAUAAAUGUUGUUGCUGCACCAAAUUUCCGAAAGUUAGAGAACAUCGACGUUUGUGCAAACUGUCAAUUGUUAGAUGAGCCUAUUUUCUCGGACGACACAAAGGUUCAAAAUUUCCUUCUAUCUCUGGGAUUAACAAGAAAAGAUCUUGAUCACAAAAGCAAAGAGCAGUACAUGAACAUAUUGGGUCAAGCAAUGUGUUUCAUGGCUAGUAGGGAAACUGUGAACACUGUUCCAACAAUCAAAGAUGAUAUCCAUGGGAAAAUAUGCACUGUUCUAUUGUCAUCUGAGCAGUCAAAUAUUUUUUUUAACGAAUCUAAAAAGAAAAUUAUUGUUGGACCAUUAGGAAGUGGUAAAUCGGUUCUUGCUUUAUCUCAUCUAAAACAACUUUACGAAUGUUGUGAAGGAAAAUGCACAAUAUACUAUGUCAUGUGGAGUGACAAAACAAUACUGCUGAAAGGUAUUGAAAAAUUUGUCUCAAAAUUUCAAUGCAACAAAAAUAUCACUUUGAAAGUAAAGAAUGCAAUUGAAUUAGCAAAAGAGCUCAAUCUCUUUAAACUUCCAACCUUAUCCCAAUUAUUACUGUUGUUGUUAAAGAAACACGGUGGUAUGUCAUUUCAUUUUAUAAGUGACGAAGUUGAUGGAGCGAUGUUUGACAAUCAAGAAGCUUUAUCGCUGAAGCAGAUUUUGGAGAGGGAAGUGGCUUUAAAGAAUUCCAUGAUUGUGUUGUUUCUGCAAUCUUUGGAAAAGCACAGGAUAUUGGUUUUAUCUGGAGAAUCAAAAGGCCAUGAUAAAUACAAGUACGAAGAAGCUGGUAUGCGUGUGUUUUACCUCAAUAAAUCAAUGCGAACAACGAAGAAAAAUUUUAACUUCUUGGUACAAUUUGAGAAGAAAAUUUCCGGGAUUGAAUCAGUUAUCAAACAUCCUGUUCAGGACAAAAAUCAUGAAAUAUCAUCAGCAAAAUCUGGAACGACCAGCUCUACCAUUCAACAAAAUUCAAAGCAGCGUAAAGUCUUAGAAAUUAAGAAUUUACAAGUAGAAUCAGCCGAAGAAAGUAAAAAGAUUUUUGAAGAACCAGUGGAUAUAGAGGAAAUUGCAGCUGCCUCACAUUAUCCAGAUGUUUCUGAAGAUAUCAAAACCCUAACCAAAGUGAAAUGCAACUCUGCGCAAGAAGUUGGACAUAACAUUGAAGGUACAAAGCCAAUACUGAUACAUCUUAAUUAUGAAAAUGAAACAGAAGAAAAAAGUAUUGUCAUGUUAGCUCUCUCGUUGGAACACUAUCUAGAUCGUGUUAAUAUUAAACGUUUAUUUUUUCAUAACACUGUGGAACAAAUGAUCACGUUUCGAAAAGUUUUGGAUUUAAUCAGAAGGGAUUAUUUUGUUUAUAACAAACAAACUGAAUGGAGUGUCAUCGACCGCUGCAAUAAAGUGUGUGAUCUUCCUGCAGACGUGGGUUAUAAUAUAAUAACCGACGUACACGGUAGUAGAGGAACAGACUUUUGUGAAACCGUAUGUGCUAUUGACGUAAAUGACACUAUGUUGCGACACAAGACGUUAGAAGGCAUGUCCAGAGUAACUGAACGCCUGAUAAUUGUUUGCGCGUGUAACAUACAGUCUGCUACUACAAAUUCAUCAACUGGACAUAUCAUUAAAGAUCUGUUACCAGAGUACCUAAAUGAGGUUUCUGUUGAAUGUUGCAAGAAUUCAAACGAAAAUUACAUUGAAACACAAGUUAAUGACAGAAAAUCGAUAGGAUAUGUAAAUACAAAUUCGCGUAGAUUCAAAAAUCUCAUGGAACGGAUAAAGAAAAUUGAAUAUAAAAAGAAUGAAUCAGAUGUGCAUGAUUUCGCGCGAGUUAUACGUAAAAAUUUCCAGCCUCCAACAAUCAAUGUGAGCUGCAAUUUUUCAAACGACAAUUCCUGUACAAUUAAUUGGAAUGAGGAAGGAUAUCGUUACGUAAUUGAAAUGGAAAACGACAGAUCACAAUGGCAGAACGUAGAACAUAUCAUCACGUUUGGUGGAUGUGUUAUCAAUAAUUUAGUUGUUGGAAAUAAAUACAAGUUUCGUGUUUUGGCUAGUAACGACUCUGGUCACGCUCAAAGUGUUGUAUCGUAUCGACAUGUAAACAAUCUUCCAUCAACUCUUGCAGAUAUGUCUAUCACUUUUAAAGGUAAGUUAUCACGAAACUGAAAUGAUAUAUUUUUGACCUCAUUUUAAUCAUAGUGCUUGUGAAACAUUUUAAUUUUUAUUAAUCACCGAAAAACGUUCUUAGUGUCCAAAGUUAAAUAUGAAAUUUCUCUAUGGUGAAAUGUUAACUUUGCUACUAUUAUUUUUCCUUGAGUUGAUAGGAUAUUUUGUAUAUCCAGUGCAGCUUUCUCCUGGUAAACAGAAGCAAAAAAGAUUUACAUGUUAUCAAACUGUAAUUGUAUUGAAAAAUCUUUUUUUUUUUAAUUUAAUCAAAUCUCUUUUCUUUGAAAUGCUUUGAAAAUAUAAAAUUAAAAUAAUCCAGCAUUACGAAAUCAAAGAUGCACUAGAGAUCUAUAGUUUAUUCUCAAGGUAAUUUUUUUUGGUGAAUAAGAAUCUUCAAUUUUCUCGACAAUUAUAUGUAGUUUAAUCGAACUUUAGAAAAUUGAACUAAAACGUUACUCUUGAAUCAAGCGGGUUUUUUAUUACAAUUACGACCUCUACUAUAAAGUUGGCUCCCUAUACUUUAACAAAAGCAAACGGAAAAUAAUCAAGGUAUUUUUUUAAUCCUGUUUGGUUGAUAGGCUCCUUUUUCUCUUUCACAUAAAGUGUGGCAAAUUAAAAAACAGUAAAAAAAUGAUUUGAUCCAGCAUAAAAAAAAUUAAUAAUUUUUCUAAUUGCAUUUUCAAAGAGGUAGGAAUGAAAAUUAUUUUUUUUGCGCGGUAUUAAUUAAAAUUAUUGGGGUAGUAAUUGGGAUAGCGGCUGGGGUAGUUAAAUCGUAUAAUCGAAGCGUAUAUUUUGUAAAUAUACAUUGUAGAUUCAAUUUUACUGUAAUACUCUUUGAAUUGGGUGUAAAGUUGUUAAACAAAAGUUUUACCUGUACAUUUAGUUCACAAUGCGCAGCUCCGCAAUAUUUAUAUGUUGCAGGAUAAUGCAGAUCUUAUGCCUUCGCAAAAUUUGGCCACCGUGUCAAAUUGAUCACUAUUAAAAAAAGAUGGGCAAUGUUGAACAGUCCGGCUCCUAAAGGAUAGUUACCAAACUUGUCCUUGGGAACUGUUAGGCUUUUUAUAGUUGGACGGCCUAGUAUAAUACAGGCCAUUAUCCAUAGCCUUAAAGGUUUGAGUAUACGGGUUGUGAAGUAGUGAAAUUCUUAUGAAGCUAUAGCCUCGUUUCCAUACUAUUUCAAUAUUGUAAAGAGAAUUUCAUGCGAAGAAAAUUUGUCAUCAGGACCGGGGAAAAGCCUCCUUUCCAAGUUAUUUAUAUUUAACCGUAAUGGCUGGCCUCAAUUCCAUGUUAUUUAGUCAUUGACACGAGAACAUCAUAACCAAAAGAUUUGCUGUAAGAGCCUUCUUUUCAAGUUAUUAGCAACCUUACGAAACAAGAACGGGAGCAUUUGCGACGGAGAAAAUACUAUUAUUUUUUCAACGAGCAUGUACAGAUCAGGACAAUCCCACAAAACAAGGUUGACAUUUUCCCUUCGAUUUGAAAAGAACCAUUUUGAGCUUGUGGAUAGAGCGUCAAGUAUUUAAGAAAGUAAAAAUGUGAUAUGGAAGUAUUACUGAUAAGAGUACACAGAAACAGCUUAUAUGAGUUUUUCCCUAAAUUGUGUCACUUUUUUUGCAUUUUUUUGAUAGUUGCCAUGGUUUUAUUUCAUAUUGUAACUUUCGUUUAACUUUUCUUAAGCAAUUAUUGGCGCGUUUUGCGUACAACGGGAUUUCAUGAAAAGUUAUUGUCAACAUUGUUGCAGAUAGUGCCGUAUUUUGUAAAAGUCUCUACUUACACUUGAAAAUUAUCGCUAAUAGAAACAAUUCAGUGCAAAUCUUAUGGGACGGUUUUCAUCUGCAAAACUUAUCAGUGGCAAAGGAAAGCACAUAAUGAUCUGGUCUGUAGAAUGAAACUACCAUCAAAAACACCACCCUAAACACUACCCCAACUUCAUUCUCAGGCCCCCUAUUUGCUUUCUUAUAUUGGGACGGCGCGAACAGGAAUGGGUCUUGAGGACGAGGUUGGGAUACCCCAUGUUUUCAAAUAACCGAUCGCGUGUCAGUGAAACAUCUUUGAAAAUAUUCGUGCAGACGAAAUCGAAUAUAUUGAGUACAAUUUGUUCUAUUUUUAUCACUAUAUCAUACUCAACCAAAACGAAUAUGUUUCAUUCAAUAAAUAAUUUUGAUAAAAUCCGGUCGUGUGAGGUUAGAGAAAAUUUAAUUUUGAUAAAAGUAGCAGCUAGUUUUUAUUAUACAUUAUUUUUUUUCAUGAGAAACCCGUUUACAAUUAACGGAGUAUUUACUAAGAGCUGUGUACCUAAGUCUCGUGUUCUUUAGAACUUGUUCUUAUAAAAAACCGAUCGCGUGUCAAAAAACAAUCUUUGAAAUAUUCGUGCAGCCGAAAUCGAAUAUAUUGAGUACAGUCGUUCUAUUUUUAUCACUAUAUCAUACUCAACCAAAACGAAUAUGUUUCAUUCAACAACGAGUUCUGAUAACAACAGGAUGUGAAUAAGAUAUCGAGGAAAUUAUUAAAUCUAACGAUAUCGAGAAACUGAAAAAAUUACUAUCCAUUCAUCCAAACAUCAAUCACAUGAGAGAUGAAGAUGAAUUCACACCAUUGAUGUGGACAGUACGUUUCAC
RNA transcript from Hydractinia symbiolongicarpus, 6758 nucleotides. RefSeq lists it as uncharacterized. The record is from RefSeq and is a predicted model, not a curated record. Lineage: Eukaryota; Metazoa; Cnidaria; Hydrozoa; Anthoathecata; Hydractiniidae. The transcript is spliced from 9 exons.